GAUGAACGCUGGCGGCGUGCCUAAUACAUGCAAGUCGAACGAACGGACGAGACGCUUUCUUCUCUGAUGUUAGCGGCGGACGGGUGAGUAACACGUGGAUAACCUACCUAUAAUACUGGGAUAACAUCGGGAAUCCGGAGCUAAUACCGGAUGAUAUUCUGAACCGCAUGGUUCAAAAGUUUACGACGGGCUUGCUGUCCCUUAUAGAUGGGUCCGUGCUGCAUUAGCUAGUUGGUAAGGUAACGGCUUACCAAGGCAACGAUGCAUAGCCGACCUGAGAGGGUGAUCGGCCACCCUGGAACUGAGACACGGUCCAGAGUCCUACGGGAGGCAGCAGUAGGGAAUCGUCCGCAAUGGGCGAAAGCCUGACAGAGCAACGCCGCGUGAGUGAUGAAGGUCUUCGGAUCGUAAAGCCCUGUUAUUAGGGAAGAACAUAUGUGUAAGUAAACGAGGACAUCGUGACGGUACCUAAACAGAAAGCACCGGCUAACUACGUG
This 497-nucleotide ribosomal RNA is filed under the name uncultured bacterium. RNAcentral's name for it is "partial 16S ribosomal RNA". It matches the Rfam family "Bacterial small subunit ribosomal RNA", at positions 28 to 507 of the family's 1533-position model. The record is from RNAcentral.